RNAcentral lists this ribosomal RNA (464 nucleotides) under Vreelandella stevensii. RNAcentral describes it as "partial 16S ribosomal RNA". It matches the Rfam family "Bacterial small subunit ribosomal RNA", at positions 338 to 795 of the family's 1533-position model. Lineage: Bacteria; Pseudomonadati; Pseudomonadota; Gammaproteobacteria; Oceanospirillales; Halomonadaceae. The record is from RNAcentral.
CCUACGGGCGGCAGCAGUGGGGAAUAUUGGACAAUGGGGGGAACCCUGAUCCAGCCAUGCCGCGUGUGUGAAGAAGGCCCUCGGGUUGUAAAGCACUUUCAGUGAGGAAGAACGCCUGGUGGUUAAUACCCAUCAGGAAAGACAUCACUCACAGAAGAAGCACCGGCUAACUCCGUGCCAGCAGCCGCGGUAAUACGGAGGGUGCGAGCGUUAAUCGGAAUUACUGGGCGUAAAGCGCGCGUAGGUGGCUUGAUAAGCCGGUUGUGAAAGCCCCGGGCUCAACCUGGGAACGGCAUCCGGAACUGUCAAGCUAGAGUGCAGGAGAGGAAGGUAGAAUUCCCGGUGUAGCGGUGAAAUGCGUAGAGAUCGGGAGGAAUACCAGUGGCGAAGGCGGCCUUCUGGACUGACACUGACACUGAGGUGCGAAAGCGUGGGUAGCAAACAGGAUUAGAACCCCAGUAGUC